This is a small nucleolar RNA of Oryza rufipogon (brownbeard rice), 107 nucleotides long. It matches the Rfam family "Plant small nucleolar RNA R71". From Rfam's summary of the family: R71 is a member of the C/D box family of snoRNAs containing the C (UGAUGA) and D (CUGA) box motifs. Multiple nearly identical copies of this snoRNA have been identified in Arabidopsis, and it is thought to function as a 2'-O-ribose methylation guide for 18S ribosomal RNA. NCBI's taxonomy places the organism in Eukaryota, Viridiplantae, Streptophyta, Magnoliopsida, Poales, Poaceae. The record is from Rfam.
GUCCCAUGAUGAGGACGGGUGGUGACGUACUCCUGCAGCCUUUCCCAAGCUUCAGGAAUGGUUUCAUCCCUCGUCUGCUGAAAGAUGGAUAUUCUCCCACGAAGAGC